CUCUACAGCCAUGCCACCCUAAACAAGCCCAAUCUCAUCUAAUCUUGGAAGCUAAGCAGGGUUGGGCCUGGUUAGUACUUGGAUGGGAGACCACCUAGGAAGACCAGGUGCUGUAGGUG
Molecule: ribosomal RNA, 119 nt
Filed under: Pteropus alecto (black flying fox)
Lineage: Eukaryota; Metazoa; Chordata; Mammalia; Chiroptera; Pteropodidae
Source: RNAcentral